This 457-nucleotide ribosomal RNA is filed under the name uncultured bacterium. Its description in RNAcentral is "bacterial SSU rRNA". It matches the Rfam family "Bacterial small subunit ribosomal RNA", at positions 29 to 531 of the family's 1533-position model. The record is from RNAcentral.
AACGAACGCUGGCGGCAGGCUUAACACAUGCAAGUCGAACGCCCCGCAAGGGGAGUGGCAGACGGGUGAGUAACACGUGGGAACGUGCCCUAAGGUUUGGAAUAUUCUCGGGAAACUGGGAGCAAUACCAAAUGUGACCGCAAGGUGAAAGAUUUAUCGCCUUAGGAUCGGCCCGCGUCAGAUUAGGUAGUUGGUGGGGUAAUGGCCUACCAAGCCGACGAUCUGUAGCUGGUCUGAGAGGACGACCAGCCACACUGGGACUGAGACACGGCCCAGACUCCUACGGGAGGCAGCAGUGGGGAAUCUUGGACAAUGGGCGCAAGCCUGAUCCAGCCAUGCCGCGUGAGUGAUGAAGGCCCUAGGGUUGUAAAACUCUUUCGUGGGGGACGAUAAUGACGGUACCCCAAGAAGAAGCUCCGGCUAACUUCGUGCCAGCAGCCGCGGUAAUGUCUGUACU